UCGGGAAUUUUGGGCAAUGGGGGAAACCCUGACCCAGCAACGCCGCGUGAAGGAUGAAGUAUUUCGGUAUGUAAACUUCGAAAGAAUAGGAAGAAUAAAUGACGGUACUAUUUAUAAGGUCCGGCUAACUACGUGCCAGCAGCCGCGGUAAUACGUAGGGACCAAGCGUUGUUCGGAUUUACUGGGCGUAAAGGGCGCGUAGGCGGCAUGACAAGUCACUUGUGAAAUCUCUGGGCUUAACCCAGAACGGCCAAGUGAUACUGUCGCGCUAGAGUGCAGAAGGGGCAAUCGGAAUUCUUGGUGUAGCGGUGAAAUGCGUAGAUAUCAAGAGGAACACCUGAGGUGAAGACGGGUUGCUGGGCUGACACUGACGCUGAGGCGCGAAAGCGUGGGGAGCAAACGGGAUUAGAUACCCAAGUAGUCCCUGAGCGGGCUGGCAAGGCGCAU
RNAcentral lists this ribosomal RNA (447 nucleotides) under uncultured bacterium. RNAcentral's name for it is "bacterial SSU rRNA". It matches the Rfam family "Bacterial small subunit ribosomal RNA", at positions 355 to 825 of the family's 1533-position model. The record is from RNAcentral.